RNAcentral lists this ribosomal RNA (1488 nucleotides) under Parabacteroides distasonis. RNAcentral describes it as "16S ribosomal RNA". It matches the Rfam family "Bacterial small subunit ribosomal RNA". Lineage: Bacteria; Pseudomonadati; Bacteroidota; Bacteroidia; Bacteroidales; Tannerellaceae. RNAcentral also lists the same sequence under 1 other name. The record is from RNAcentral.
AGAGUUUGAUCCUGGCUCAGGAUGAACGCUAGCGACAGGCUUAACACAUGCAAGUCGAGGGGCAGCGGGGUGUAGCAAUACACCGCCGGCGACCGGCGCACGGGUGAGUAACGCGUAUGCAACUUGCCUAUCAGAGGGGGAUAACCCGGCGAAAGUCGGACUAAUACCGCAUGAAGCAGGGAUCCCGCAUGGGAAUAUUUGCUAAAGAUUCAUCGCUGAUAGAUAGGCAUGCGUUCCAUUAGGCAGUUGGCGGGGUAACGGCCCACCAAACCGACGAUGGAUAGGGGUUCUGAGAGGAAGGUCCCCCACAUUGGUACUGAGACACGGACCAAACUCCUACGGGAGGCAGCAGUGAGGAAUAUUGGUCAAUGGGCGUAAGCCUGAACCAGCCAAGUCGCGUGAGGGAUGAAGGUUCUAUGGAUCGUAAACCUCUUUUAUAAGGGAAUAAAGUGCGGGACGUGUCCCGUUUUGUAUGUACCUUAUGAAUAAGGAUCGGCUAACUCCGUGCCAGCAGCCGCGGUAAUACGGAGGAUCCGAGCGUUAUCCGGAUUUAUUGGGUUUAAAGGGUGCGUAGGCGGCCUUUUAAGUCAGCGGUGAAAGUCUGUGGCUCAACCAUAGAAUUGCCGUUGAAACUGGGGGGCUUGAGUAUGUUUGAGGCAGGCGGAAUGCGUGGUGUAGCGGUGAAAUGCAUAGAUAUCACGCAGAACCCCGAUUGCGAAGGCAGCCUGCCAAGCCAUUACUGACGCUGAUGCACGAAAGCGUGGGGAUCAAACAGGAUUAGAUACCCUGGUAGUCCACGCAGUAAACGAUGAUCACUAGCUGUUUGCGAUACACUGUAAGCGGCACAGCGAAAGCGUUAAGUGAUCCACCUGGGGAGUACGCCGGCAACGGUGAAACUCAAAGGAAUUGACGGGGGCCCGCACAAGCGGAGGAACAUGUGGUUUAAUUCGAUGAUACGCGAGGAACCUUACCCGGGUUUGAACGCAUUCGGACCGAGGUGGAAACACCUUUUCUAGCAAUAGCCGUUUGCGAGGUGCUGCAUGGUUGUCGUCAGCUCGUGCCGUGAGGUGUCGGCUUAAGUGCCAUAACGAGCGCAACCCUUGCCACUAGUUACUAACAGGUUAGGCUGAGGACUCUGGUGGGACUGCCAGCGUAAGCUGCGAGGAAGGCGGGGAUGACGUCAAAUCAGCACGGCCCUUACAUCCGGGGCGACACACGUGUUACAAUGGCGUGGACAAAGGGAGGCCACCUGGCGACAGGGAGCGAAUCCCCAAACCACGUCUCAGUUCGGAUCGGAGUCUGCAACCCGACUCCGUGAAGCUGGAUUCGCUAGUAAUCGCGCAUCAGCCAUGGCGCGGUGAAUACGUUCCCGGGCCUUGUACACACCGCCCGUCAAGCCAUGGGAGCCGGGGGUACCUGAAGUCCGUAACCGAAAGGAUCGGCCUAGGGUAAAACUGGUGACUGGGGCUAAGUCGUAACAAGGUAACC